RNAcentral lists this ribosomal RNA (1524 nucleotides) under Pseudoalteromonas sp. JB197. RNAcentral describes it as "LSU rRNA". It matches the Rfam family "Bacterial large subunit ribosomal RNA", at positions 1 to 1576 of the family's 2925-position model. Lineage: Bacteria; Pseudomonadati; Pseudomonadota; Gammaproteobacteria; Alteromonadales; Pseudoalteromonadaceae. The record is from RNAcentral.
GUUGUAUGGUUAAGUGACUAAGCGUACACGGUGGAUGCCUUGGCAGUUGGAGGCGAUGAAGGACGUAUUAACUUGCGAUAAGCCUAGUCAAGCUAGUAAAAAGCACUUGAGACUAGGAUUUCCGAAUGGGGAAACCCACCUGCUUGCAGGUAUCGUUAACUGAAUACAUAGGUUAACGAGGCGAACGCGGAGAACUGAAACAUCUAAGUACCCGUAGGAAAAGAAAUCAACCGAGAUUCCGAAAGUAGCGGCGAGCGAAAUCGGAACAGCCCUUAAGCUUAUUAUGUGUUAAUGGAAGGCUGCUGGAAAGCGCCACGAUACAGGGUGAUAGUCCCGUACAUGAAAAGACAUUUUAAGUGAAAUCGAGUAGGUCGGAGCACGUGAAACUUUGACUGAAUAUAGGUGGACCAUCAUCUAAGGCUAAAUACUCCCAACUGACCGAUAGUGAACCAGUACCGUGAGGGAAAGGCGAAAAGAACCCCUGUGAGGGGAGUGAAAUAGAACCUGAAACCGUGUACGUACAAGCAGUAGGAGCCCACUUGUUGGGUGACUGCGUACCUUUUGUAUAAUGGGUCAGCGACUUAUAUUUUGUAGCGAGGUUAACCGAUUAGGGUAGCCGUAGGGAAACCGAGUCUUAACUGGGCGAAUAGUUGCAAGGUAUAGACCCGAAACCCGGUGAUCUAGCCAUGAGCAGGUUGAAGGUUGAGUAACAUCAACUGGAGGACCGAACCCACUAACGUUGAAAAGUUAGGGGAUGACUUGUGGUUAGGAGUGAAAGGCUAAUCAAACCGGGAGAUAGCUGGUUCUCCCCGAAAUCUAUUUAGGUAGAGCCUCGGACGAAUACUUACGGGGGUAGAGCACUGUUAAGGCUAGGGGGUCAUCCCGACUUACCAACCCUUUGCAAACUCCGAAUACCGUAAAGUAAUAUCCGGGAGACACACGGCGGGUGCUAACGUCCGUCGUGAAGAGGGAAACAACCCAGACCGCCAGCUAAGGUCCCAAAGUCAUAGUUAAGUGGGAAACGAUGUGGAAAGGCCCAGACAGCCAGGAGGUUGGCUUAGAAGCAGCCAUCCUUUAAAGAAAGCGUAAUAGCUCACUGGUCGAGUCGGUCUGCGCGGAAGAUGUAACGGGGCUAAACUAUGCACCGAAGCUGCGGAUUCAUCUUAGGAUGAGUGGUAGGGGAGCGUUCUGUAAGCCGUUGAAGGUGACCCGGGAGGGUUGCUGGAGGUAUCAGAAGUGCGAAUGCUGACAUGAGUAACGAUAAUGGGAGUGAAAAACUCCCACGCCGGAAGACCAAGGGUUCCUAUCCCAUGUUAAUCAGGGUAGGGUAAGUCGACCCCUAAGGCGAGGCCGAAAGGCGUAGUCGAUGGGAAACAGAUUAAUAUUUCUGUACUCGAUAUAAUUGCGAUGGGGGGACGGAGCAGGCUAAGCAAGCAUGGCGUUGGUAGUCCAUGUGAAAGUGAGUAGGGCGUUUGUUUAGGUAAAUCCGGACGAACAUUAAACCUGAGACACGAGACGAGUCAC